ACAGGACUCAGGGAUCCUGCGGCUACCAGUUUGCUUGGUGACGUGAAGGUGAGUUUUCAGCCUCCUUGUGGCCCUUCCAGGGGAUGCCCCAGCUGAUGGGGUAAGUCCCCAGAGCCAGGCCCAUACGUUAGCCUGUGGCAGGUGCCCUUUAUAAAGGGAGGCUCCCUGAGGCAUGUAACACAAGUCUUCACAGCGAGACGGCGUGAAAAGGGUUAGUCCUAUCCAAAGAUUUUUGCUCUGUAGUUCAGGAGUAAAAGAGCUGAAGGCACUUAUGUGGCAAUUAAGUAUGAAUGUGCUCAUUUCCUGCCAGGCCAGCGAUGACUCUCACCCGGGGAAACCUUCCACCGAGUCUGCACUGUGCAGACGAUGCAAUCAGAGCUUCUGUGGGGGUGACGUGCGGCAGCGGCUCCAGACAGAAAGAAAUGUGCAAAAAUGUGAAUCGUGCCAAAGAUUCAGCUCUCUGGAAGAACAGAUGCCCUGGAGAUCUCUUCUGGAGCAGAGACAGUCCUUCUGUAGCACAGUGGCCCCAGGUAGUGUAAUUCAUUCCUCCCUUGGUCACACCUUAAACUCAAAUUUUGGGGCCUUUUUUUUUUUUUUUAAAGAUUUUAUUUAUUUAUUUGACAGAGAGGGAUCACAAGCAGGCAGAGAGGCAGGCAGAGAGAGAGGAGGAAGCAGGCUCCCUGCUGAGCAGAGAGCCAGAUGUGGGCUCGAUUCCAGGACACUGGGACCAUGACCUGAGCCGAAGGCAGAGGCCUCAACCCACUGAGCCACCCAGGCGCCCCUUUCUGGGUCUUUUUAAAUCAACUUUAUGUUAAUUAGCUGGGAACUAAUAUUUCAAGUGCAUUUGAGUAUAUAUAAAUGCAUUGUGUUGUAUGUGUGCGUGGAGGGGCAAUAAAUAUGACCAAUUAAAAAAAAAAAUCUGCUGCCUCUUGCCCAGAAUCUAAGAGAAACAGAGGAAUGGAGCUCCAGACCCAGAAGCAAGCACUCAGCUACCCCAGAGUCCAUCCAUAUUUUCCUCUUGGGUUCAAACCUCUCCUCUCCUUUGCCUGCUCAUGGUGUUGGAUGGGUUACAUGGCCUCUCUGCCCUUCACCUUCCCUGUCUGUAAAGAGGAAUAACACCCCUCCUUGCAGGGGUGAGGAGGAAGAACGAGCUAUGGCACAGUGCCAGGUUCACAGGACCCUCCCCCAGCAGAGCUAUGGUAAUGGAAGCAGCAGCUCCUAGGCCCAAAGUUCUCACCCCUCAUACCAGAUACCCUCCGUGCAGCACGAAGGAGUGAGGUCAUCCAGAGUGUUUACCAAUGCCCUGGAGAAGGUCCCAACAUCAGCUUCUCACGCUGGGGUUCCACAGGCUUGCUCCCCGUGUAGAACUGUGCCGAUAAGCAGCCCCUGGAUUUUCCCGGCUGCUCCUUUUGAAAGAUCACACUUUGUUUCUUCCCUCAGUGGCCUUGAUCAUUUAUUUUCAUUGUAAGGCGUGUGAUGGUUAAGUUUAUGUGUCAUCUCCACUAGUGUGUCUGGAUACUUGGUUAACUAUGAUUCUGGGUGUUUUCUGCACGAGAUAAACAUUUAAACCAGCAGACUGAGUAAGGGAGACGGCUUCAUCCGUUUGUGCCUGAGUAGAGCACAAAGCCAAGAAGGGAGACAUCCCUCUGCCUGACUGUCGCUGAGCUGGGGCACGGCCUUCUGCUGCCUCAGGAGCCGACGCAGACAGAAUCCAUGCCACCAGCUCCCAGGUCUCCAGCAUGCCCACAGCAGGUCAGGGACUUCCCGGACUCCAGUCACGUGAGUCAACUCCUUAUAAUAAAUCUCUGUAUGUCCUGUCAACUCUGUUUCUCUAGAGAACCCUGAUACAGAGGAGUAAUCCACAUUCAUUUUAAAUACUUAGCGUAUCAAAAAAAAGCUAUGAAAAAAUCACCUAUAAUCUCAAUUCUCAAAAAUCACUAGGGACAAUAGCACAAUGUCAUGAUAUGCAGCUUUGUAACUACUUUCUUC
Molecule: long non-coding RNA, 1989 nt
Organism: Mustela putorius furo (domestic ferret)
Lineage: Eukaryota; Metazoa; Chordata; Mammalia; Carnivora; Mustelidae
Source: Ensembl